UAAUGCUUGGGGUACAGGGCACUCUUCACAGGUCUCUUACAGGAGAUUCAAAUUUGUUGACGUGGAGGGUAAUAAAAUAAAAAAAAAAAUGCAACAAAACAAACGAAAAGGAGGGAACGCUAGACAUAACCUGCGCAGCUAAGAUACCCUAAGUUUGAGCUCCCCCAAAAUUCUUCCCUCCUGGUCGAUGCCACAGCCACCAUCCCCUCCGGCGCUGCCAUACCUCCAGUCACUAAACAAAUAUCAAAAAAUACUUGUGAACGGCAAUGCACUCAUUUCCCCCAAUUUGAGGUCUCCCAAAAUCCCUCUCAUAGUAUACAACACACCAACCUAUCCCCUCUGGUCAGAAUAUACCGGCGACCAUUUUUCCACUUACUGCAGUUGAAGCCUCGAGAAAUGGGAGCCUGGCGGGGUUGAUUUCAACUUCCUACUCCGAGGAUAAUAGCUCUGCUGUUCGGGUAUUUGCCUACGACCUCCAACGACAAUCUUGGCAUUUUCGGAGUCUUGUGAACCUGAGGUGAGAGGAAGGAAUGCUAAAAUUUGUCACAAAUGUAGAAGCAAUGGGCAUUUUUUCGGUGAAUGCCCAAGAAAAUGUCAUUGCCCAUUGUGUGCACAUGGAUUUCAGAAAUGUUUUUAGGUCGAACGACAAACACGCAACAAGGGUCGCUAUUUAACACAUGCAGUAAUAAAUGUAGAUUUUUUGAAUGGGUUAACAAGGAGAGUCAAGUGGAGACGAGUACAAUUAAUGAAGCUCUCAAUAUUGCAACAAAUGAGGAAGUCAAAGAUUUGCCAAGUAUGUUCGACAUUCUUGCUUGAAUAUUCGACGAACGAGACUUAGAGAUUAACUUGAAAUUACUUUCCGCAAGGGAAAAGGAAGUUCGGAAGGAAAUGGAAAAGUAAAGUAGGCCUCUUGAGUAGUUGUACUAUGUUGAACAUGUUAAUUGAAUUAUGUUUGUACUAGAACAUAUGAAGGACAUAACUCCGUAUGUUUCAUCGGAAAAUGGGUGUUAUGCAAUGUAGGUUUAUGUGUAUUUCU
This is a long non-coding RNA of Olea europaea var. sylvestris, 1036 nucleotides long. RefSeq lists it as uncharacterized. The record is from RefSeq and is a predicted model, not a curated record. Lineage: Eukaryota; Viridiplantae; Streptophyta; Magnoliopsida; Lamiales; Oleaceae. The transcript has 2 exons.